This 492-nucleotide ribosomal RNA is filed under the name uncultured bacterium. RNAcentral describes it as "partial 16S ribosomal RNA". It matches the Rfam family "Bacterial small subunit ribosomal RNA", at positions 29 to 507 of the family's 1533-position model. The record is from RNAcentral.
AGUGAACGCUGGCGGUAGGCCUAACACAUGCAAGUCGAACGGCAGCACAGUAAGAGCUUGCUCUUACGGGUGGCGAGUGGCGGACGGGUGAGGAAUACAUCGGACUCUACUUUUUCGUGGGGGAUAACGUAGGGAAACUUACUCUGAUACCGCAUACGACCUACGGGUGAAAGCAGGGGAUCUUCGGACCUUGCGCGAUUGAAUGAGCCGAUGUCGGAUUAGCUAGUUGGCGGGGUAAAGGCCCACCAAGGCGACGAUCCGUAGCUGGUCUGAGAGGAUGAUCAGCCACACUGGAACUGAGACACGGUCCAGACUCCUACGGGAGGCAGCAGUGGGGAAUAUUGGACAAUGGGCGCAAGCCUGAUCCAGCCAUACCGCGUGGGUGAAGAAGGCCUUCGGGUUGUAAAGCCCUUUUGUUGGGAAAGAAAAGCAGCAGGUUAAUACCCCGCUGUUCUGACGGUACCCAAAGAAUAAGCACCGGCUAACUUCGUG